This 388-nucleotide ribosomal RNA is filed under the name uncultured bacterium. Its description in RNAcentral is "bacterial SSU rRNA". It matches the Rfam family "Bacterial small subunit ribosomal RNA", at positions 30 to 412 of the family's 1533-position model. The record is from RNAcentral.
AUUGAACGCUGGCGGCAGGCCUAACACAUGCAAGUCGAACGGUAACAGGAAACAGCUUGCUGUUUCGCUGACGAGUGGCGGACGGGUGAGUAAUGUCUGGGAAACUGCCUGAUGGAGGGGGAUAACUACUGGAAACGGUAGCUAAUACCGCAUAACGUCGCAAGACCAAAGAGGGGGACCUUCGGGCCUCUUGCCAUCGGAUGUGCCCAGAUGGGAUUAGCUAGUAGGUGGGGUAACGGCUCACCUAGGCGACGAUCCCUAGCUGGUCUGAGAGGAUGACCAGCCACACUGGAACUGAGACACGGUCCAGACUCCUACGGGAGGCAGCAGUGGGGAAUAUUGCACAAUGGGCGCAAGCCUGAUGCAGCCAUGCCGCGUGUAUGAAGAA